GACGAACGCUGGCGGCGUGCUUAACACAUGCAAGUCGAACGGAAAGGCCCUGCUUUUGUGGGGUGCUCGAGUGGCGAACGGGUGAGUAACACGUGAGUAACCUGCCCUUGACUUUGGGAUAACUUCAGGAAACUGGGGCUAAUACCGGAUAGGAGCUCCUGCUGCAUGGUGGGGGUUGGAAAGUUUCGGCGGUUGGGGAUGGACUCGCGGCUUAUCAGCUUGUUGGUGGGGUAGUGGCUUACCAAGGCUUUGACGGGUAGCCGGCCUGAGAGGGUGACCGGCCACAUUGGGACUGAGAUACGGCCCAGACUCCUACGGGAGGCAGCAGUGGGGAAUAUUGCACAAUGGGCGGAAGCCUGAUGCAGCAACGCCGCGUGCGGGAUGACGGCCUUCGGGUUGUAAACCGCUUUCGCCUGUGACGAAGCGUGAGUGACGGUAAUGGGUAAAGAAGCACCGGCUAACUACGUGCCAGCAGCCGCGGUGAUACGUAGGGUGCGAGCGUUGUCCGGAUUUAUUGGGCGUAAAGGGCUCGUAGGUGGUUGAUCGCGUCGGAAGUGUAAUCUUGGGGCUUAACCCUGAGCGUGCUUUCGAUACGGGUUGACUUGAGGAAGGUAGGGGAGAAUGGAAUUCCUGGUGGAGCGGUGGAAUGCGCAGAUAUCAGGAGGAACACCAGUGGCGAAGGCGGUUCUCUGGGCCUUUCCAGACGCUGAGGAGCGAAAGCGUGGGGAGCGAACAGGCUUAGAUACCCUGGUAGUCCACGCUGUAAACGGUGGGUACUAGGUGUGGGGUCCAUUCCACGGGUUCCGUGCCGUAGCUAACGCUUUAAGUACCCCGCCUGGGGAGUACGGCCGCAAGGCUAAAGCUCAAAGGAAUUGACGGGGCCCCGCACAAGCGGCGGAGCAUGCGGAUUAAUUCGAUGCAACGCGUAGAACCUUACCUGGGUUUGACAUGGAUCGGGAGUGCUCAGAGAUGGGUGUGCCUCUUUUGGGGUCGGUUCACAGGUGGUGCAUGGCUGUCGUCAGCUCGUGUCGUGAGAUGUUGGGUUAAGUCCCGCAACGAGCGCAACCCUUGUUCACUGUUGCCAGCACGUUAUGGUGGGGACUCAGUGGAGACCGCCGGGGUCAACUCGGAGGAAGGUGGGGAUGACGUCAAGUCAUCAUGCCCCUUAUGUCCAGGGCUUCACGCAUGCUACAAUGGCUGGUACAGAGAGUGGCGAGCCUGUGAGGGUGAGCGAAUCUCGGAAAGCCGGUCUCAGUUCGGAUUGGGGUCUGCAACUCGACCUCAUGAAGUCGGAGUCGCUAGUAAUCGCAGAUCAGCAACGCUGCGGUGAAUACGUUCCCGGGGCU
Molecule: ribosomal RNA, 1346 nt
Filed under: uncultured bacterium
Lineage: Bacteria
Description: partial 16S ribosomal RNA
Rfam family: Bacterial small subunit ribosomal RNA
Source: RNAcentral